CGGGCUCUGCACUGACAGCAGACGGCCCCACGUGGGGCUUGAACUCACGCACUGUGAAAUCAUGACCUGGAGCCGAAGUUUGACAGAGACUGAGCCAACCUGGCACCCCUGGGGUUCUAUCUUAAAUUGUAAAUAGCCCUGGGAAGGUGGAGUUGCUCUGGACUUUUCAUGGCUUUGAGCGAACUGCUUUGAAUAGGCUGCCUUUCCAGACAUGCAGUACGAUUGGUGUGCCUUUAUGGUGUGGGGUGUGGGAGUUCAGGGGAAGGCUCUGAACGAAUGUUCUAGAAGGGGGUUGGAGCAUGGCCUCAUUGGAUGCCUUGAGGCAAUUAAGAAGGGUACAAGGUAGAGAAGACCUAGGUGUUAAGAGAGGCUUCCAGGAGAGAGAAGAGAAGGCACGAACGCCUCCAGCUUCUGCGGCUUUGCUGUGCAGGACCACGCCCUGGCGUGGAGCUCGCUUAUCUCCAGCCUCUCCCCUUCCCUGUGGUGGGUGGGGCAGACCAGCCUGCUGAGGAAAUACCUAGAAAUGACCUAUGGGGCAACUGUUAAGACUGGUACUUUUCCACUCCAUGUGUUGAUGUGUGCUUCUAAGAUCCCCAAUAUGGACUCCUGCAUAGUCUUGAGGAGUGCUGGGGCUCCCCAGAGGGACGUUCAAGCUCGGGCCGCAUCCCAUAAUGGUGGUUCUUUGACUCUGUAGAGGUCACCACAGAAGGGUUUCUUUGUCAUUUGCCAUCGCCAUUUCUCCUCAGUCUAGUGUCUGCCCCUCUUGGGCGAUUUCUGAUGGUGGGAUAUGUUUUCCACUGGGGCCUACGCUUACCACCUGCCUCCCAGUUUUCCCGUCGCCUUCAGAAGCUAGUUAUUUUUACAAAGGAGCACUCCUCCCUCCAACCCAAUCUUAAAUACAGUUUUGGAACAAGGAGCCUGCCUCCUCUAAGGUAACGGCCGCUCUCCUGUACCAGCUGCUGUCACUUCCUUCACAUGAGUGGACACGUGUUUCCUCUCCUGGUUCCUCUUUAUUUCUCUGCCCUUCCCCCUCUGGGGGGAUGAGGGCAGGCAGGGCUCCUCACACCAGGUGCUGCGUAUCUGAUCAGUGCCCUAGAACCGACUGGCAGAAGAUUCUGACCGGGUCUUCCUACAAAGUCUCCACCAGCAUCUGGAGGUUUGGGCUGCAAGACAAAGGCUGGUUCCCCAUCCAUCAGCUUUCUCGAUGUCUUCUCUUCCUGGGGUCAGACUGCCUCCUAAUACCCAUGAGGAGAUAGCAGCUCUCAGCACCUGGCCCAGGCUCUCCAUGAAAUCCUGGCAUGGCAACCAGAUGUGGGAUGCCAGGCCGCCACACAGGGAGGCGAGAGAGCUUCAGUGAAGGAGACCGGUGCUGACAGAGGGGAAUAGAAGCACGCCAGGGAACAGCUGGAGCGCGGGACGGAGGCAGCGGGGAACAGACCUGCGUCUCCAUCAAGGUUUCAAGCCAUCCUCUGACAUCGCUCGUCAGGGAUUUUACCGCGCUCCCAGGACGUGCAGCUAUCGAGGCUCUCUUUGGAAACUUUGUUCUGCCCACAAGUACUCAUGGACAUUCACAUGCUUUCAGAGGUCGUGUAGACGCCCUUAGAGUCCCAUUUGUGACUAUUUUAAAGGUCGCUUUUUAUUUACACCGAAAAUACGUAUAAGAACUGUUUCUGUGAAAUUAGGUCACAGUCAGCGAGAACCAAGAGACUUACAUUCCUCUGUGCAGGAAACAGUUUCAUCAUCACUGCCAUCAAAGACGCUGCAUGGAAGGUCAGCUCUGGACUGUGUGUAGAGCGCUCCGAUCGAGAUCGUUAGAUCUCUGCAGAUAGGCGGCUAACGCGUCACUACAAAUGUGGGUAGAAGGAGGACACCCUAAAGUUUCAUGAAUGAAGAGAUUUUCCGAGGAUCAAGCCAACGGCCACGCUUCCCUCCCAUCCCCGGAUCUGUCCCCGCCCACCGCAAAAAGGCCAAAAGAAAAGGAAGAGCCAUCCUUUUGCUGUGCCUCUCUCGCUGAGUUCCCCUUCACAUUCUCUGAGGAAUUAUCUAUGCCUAUUUUAUCAGUGGAGAAAAGGAGGCUCAGAACGGCCCAGAAACUUGCCAGCCGUCACGUGGGUAGAAGCAAACUGAGAAGCAAAUGCUUUCCAGAGUUGGGCCGCGUCUGGGAGGUUCUACCUUGAAGCAUGGAGUCGACUGCGACCUAACGAGACCCAAGGAGUCUGCUGGCUGGCCUGGUCCCCAAGCAGAAGCAGAGCACUGCCCAACUUCUACGUGUGGGACGACCCGUGGCAACAUAAAGGGCAAACACACAAGGACGUCUUUCUUUCUGAGAAUGUUUCCACUGCAGUUAGGUUAGAAAAUGAUCCGGGGAAGAUAUAAACUAGCUCUUUCAUUUUCCAAAAUAAAAUGCCUCUCCACUUGGUAAUCUGGGUGGUGGAAGUCCCAGCCAGAGUCUUGGUUUUUAAAGGUUUUGUUUAAUUUGCCACCCCCACACCUCUCCUCCCACCGCCUCGCAUCAAGCUGGACAAGAAGAAAGGGGACAGUGGCCUGGCAGAUGCCUCCAUGUGGUAUGUCCUUGCAAAAUAGCUUCGGCAGCACUUUAUAUCAAAUAACCAGGGGAAAAAAGGGAAGUGGAGGUGAUGGGAGGUGUCUGCAUUUCCGGGGGUUUUGUUCCAGUUUUAAUAAAUAAGGAUAAUGCAUAGAGUGUCUCCAUUUCCAGAGCUGUGUUUUUUCCUUAAACACUGCCGCUCUUCAUGGGGAAGGAAUGAGACAUUCCUGACACAUGAUUUGGCAGGUCUCAAUCAUAAAAGAUCCAAUAUUGGCUUUCAGAAUCCCGUUCCAGAUUUGACCCAGACUCCAAACCCUGUCCAGGCACCAGCUAGAUGAGUACCUCUGGGCCUGGGCGGGGUGCCAGCCACACUUUGAAUAACAUUUGUGGGAUCUCCCCAGGGGUUCUGGUGAGGAAGGCAAUGAUUUGUUGUCCGGAUAGCUUUUCCCUCCUUGGAAAAGAGCACACGGAAUGAAAGCGCAUGAAGGACAUCAGGUGUCCCCACAAGAGUUUCAUAAUAGCAAAGACACGGAGGAGCCACCAUGCAGGGACCAAGUGAGGAACGUUUUGUCCCUGCCCUAAGGUACUUGCCCUCAAUCAGCUAAUCCCACUAUGGUACGGCUGGUGGCACCUGUCAAGUUAAAAAGUGAAAUCUACCAAACUUAUUUGUUUUUGGGGGUGGGGCUGUGUCUUUUCCUGAGUGGUGCCCCGUCUGGCAUUUCUCAAAACAUGAUCUAGAGACUCUUCUGCAUUAGAAUCGAGGGGAUCUAGUUCAAUGGCGGAUUUUUGGUCUCCUAAUCACCUACCAAGUAUGUGCGAACUAGAGCCAAGAAUUUGCUUCACAGCAACCUGCCAGGCAAUCCUGAUACACCCCAAAGUUGUGAGCCAUUGGCUGUAAAAAAUCCUUCACAUAUUUUUAAUCCAUCGCAGCACCUCGUGGCGGUGGAGAGUAAGACUGGCUUCGUUUUGCUGAUGGCCAUGUGAAUUUGUUUCACUGCGUGUCUAUUUACUGUAGGGAAAGUUUGAACUGCUAAAGACAGGGGCUACUUUAAGCCUUCGCUCUUGCCGAUUGAUACAUGUGCCUUGUCCUUUUGCAGUUAUGGUUAUCAUCUGCCCACCAACAGUAUUUCUAAGAAGCUGCUUCUCCGUGUCUUCUGGGAAGACUGUAUCCUUCAAUAUAUGUGAUUGCAGCCUGUUGAUAAAAGCAAAAGAAAAAUAAUAAAACCCACUUUGUUGAACUUCUCA
Long non-coding RNA from Leopardus geoffroyi (Geoffroy's cat), 3790 nucleotides. RefSeq lists it as uncharacterized. The transcript is spliced from 3 exons. NCBI's taxonomy places the organism in Eukaryota, Metazoa, Chordata, Mammalia, Carnivora, Felidae. The record is from RefSeq and is a predicted model, not a curated record.